GGAGGCAGGCUCAGGGGUAGGGCAUCUGCCUGGUGUGCACGAGGCCCUGGGUUGCAUUCCCAGCACCA
RNAcentral lists this transfer RNA (68 nucleotides) under Marmota monax (woodchuck). RNAcentral describes it as "tRNA.Thr". The record is from RNAcentral. Lineage: Eukaryota; Metazoa; Chordata; Mammalia; Rodentia; Sciuridae.